This 253-nucleotide ribosomal RNA is filed under the name uncultured bacterium. Its description in RNAcentral is "partial 16S ribosomal RNA". It matches the Rfam family "Bacterial small subunit ribosomal RNA", at positions 524 to 776 of the family's 1533-position model. The record is from RNAcentral.
UACGUAGGGUGCAAGCGUUAAUCGGAAUUACUGGGCGUAAAGCGUGCGCAGGCGGUUAUGUAAGACAGAUGUGAAAUGCCCGGGCUUAACCUGGGAACUGCAUUUGUGACUGCAUGGCUAGAGUUUGGCAGAGGGGGGUAGAAUUCCACGUGUAGCAGUGAAAUGCGUAGAUAUGUGGAGGAAUACCGAUGGCGAAGGCAGCCUCCUGGGCCAACACUGACGCUCAUGCACGAAAGCGUGGGGAGCAAACAGG